CGUAUUUUAUUUAUAUUUUAUAUUGUGUAUUUAAUUAUAAUUAUUAAUUUUUUAAAUAUAACCCAACUCACCCCCCUCUUGUGUUAGUCAUCUGGGCAAUACGCUUCUUAGUCACCAAACCCUAAAUUCUCUCACCCCCCUUUCCUCACAUCUUGUUCAGAUUCAUCACUCCUAGUGUGGGUCUCAAGUGGAUGACAAAUGGCACUAAGGGAUAGGUUAGGCAUGUUCCCUAAGUCCUCUAGGGUUUCUAAACCCUAAAUCCUUAUUAAGGCUGACUUUGCAUGGGCCUUGUGGGCCUCCCUUGUGAGCUUAGAUGCCUAGUGCAUCAAGUCAAAAUUUCUAAGUGGGUUUCACCACCUACAACCAUGCAUAAUCCAAUAAUAAACUUGCCCAAGGGCUUAGCUAGGUCUAGAUCAUCACAUCCAGUUGUGGUUUACAGCAAGUCAAGGGCUGAGACGUGCGGAAUGCUUGUUGUUUUGUUAGUCAAGGGAUGAAAUAUUGUGGGGGAAAUGAGAGAUUAUAAUAGUGAGGAUUUCAGCGUGUGAGUCUGCUAAUUGCUGAAACUUUGGGACUAAGAAAUCAACUGAGGGCUGAAACACUUCAGACCAAGAAAUUAGCUAAAGGCUGUUACGAAUUAGGAAACCAUUCAUGGUAGGAAAUCAUAGUGGGGAAGAAAGAUGUGCAUGUGCUUACACUACGUGGGUUGGGUAUUGUAUUUGGGCUUAUAAUUAAUUUCUUGGGCCUCAUGCCGAUUAAAAAUAAGCUCCAUAAAUAUUAACUGGGCUUUAGCCCAAGUAUUGAAUCUAAUAAAAAUUCUCUAAUCUACCAUAAUAAUUUUGGGCCCAUUGUUAUCCAAAAAUUGCAAUCGGGCUUUCCUAUAUGGCUCAUAAAUAUAAUUUAGGCCCAAUAAGAUUGUCUUUAGAAUAUGGGGCCAAGUGGUUACACAACUACCUCUUUAUAGUCCAUAUCGAGAGGUAAGAUGUGUGGCUAGUUGAAAAACUGUGCUGCUAUUAUGGUCCUUGUUUCAAUCAGAAGGUUGAGGUUUGUUGAACGUUAAGGUUAGGGUGGAACUUGGUAAUUUGGGUUGGAUUUGAAAAUCGGGUUUAUGGUGGAAUUCUAGUGUUUGGCCAUUUAGAGUUUGAUUUGUGGUUUUGGGUGUAUUAAUGGUUUGGUAUUGUCAUAGCUUGGUUAUGGCAAUAUUUCAAUGAGAUUUGGAUGGAAUAUGGUUGUUGACUGGAAAUAGAAGUAAGUGGGUGAUGGUGAUGUAUUAAUGAAAUCAAUUGGAGUACUUGUGUGUUGAUGGGCAUAAAAACAUGUUUGGUUGGUUGGAUUAUUAUGUCUCGAGAUAAUAAAUGAUAGAGGGUUUGCUUUGAAUAUGGAUGCAAUUUUUCAAAAUAUUUGAAAUUGGAGUCUUUGGUGUAAACAUAUUUGGUAGGAUGUGGUUAGAUGUGUUCUAAAUGGGUCAGUUUGUUAAGUAGCAAGUGCUUAUGGGAUAUUUGAAUCAACAUAUUCAUAAUUGGAGUAGUUUUGGCUAGUUAUAAGCGAAGUUCAUGAAGUUAUUUUGUUGGUUGUAGUUGACUAGUAACCAGGUUAGAAGAAAUGAAACCACGGAGUUGUUGCCAUGUGGUUGCUUAGUUGUGUCGUUUUAUUUUUAGGUGUGCCAGUUUAAUUCUAUUAAUUUAUAAUCGGUAUUAAUUAUGUUUAGCUAGCGAUUGAUAAUUUGCUUGGCAGUGUUGUGAGGAAAUUCAGAAAAUUUGAAAAGUUCAAGUAAGCGGUGCUCCUUAGAAUUUGCCUAGACAAGUUGAGGUUGAUUUAUGAAAAAAAUACAUAUUUUGCUAUGUAAAACUUGAAAGCUUCGAUCAUUUUUCUACAUAACUCACUAUAUAUAGAUAAGGAAAGAAAGAUAUUUUUGUCAUGAUUGAUAUAGACAUGAGCAUUUUUGGUACUCUACUUCUUAAUUGUAUAAAAUGAGCGAGUAUGAAAUCUAAAAGUUUUAUACAUGGUGAUGCGAAUAUUAUCUGUAUCUAUUGUGCUUUGUUAAGAAAUCAUAUUGCAUAUGAAAACUUUGAGGAAUAAGAUUCUAUUUUGCUCUGAUUUAUGGCCCUGCCAUGGGAUAUAAUAAUGGCUUUUGGUCCUAUCAUAGGACAUAAUAGUGGUCUUUGACCCAUCCAUGGGACAUAAUAGUGGCCUUCAGCCCUACCACGGGACAAAAUAGUGGCGUUUAGUUCUGUCAUGGGAUAUAAAAGUUGUCUUCAUUUUGAGUGCAUCACCUUGGUGACAAAAUAGUAAUAUGUUCUGCUUGGUUAACUGCAAACAUGCACAACCCUACCAAGGGGGUAAACAUGGUCUUUACUUCUAUUUCUGAUGAUGUUUAAGUUAUGCAUGUGCUAAUGGUCUUUUAUAUAUUAUUAUUAUUGUAAUGGAAAGUUUUUGAAAAUACCACUACCAUAUUUUGAAAAUUAUAUGUUUCUGUAUUUUGUAACUAACUCAUGCUUACACACUAGUAUAGACUUGUUGCUUACUGAGUUGUUGGUAACUCACCCAAUUAUCUCCAUUAUCUUUUAGAUGAUUUGGAUGUUUCAGCUAAAGAUCAAGAAUAGAAAACAUGGGCGAGAUUAGUUGAGCGUAGUGGAAUAAGUGACAAAGGUUACAAAAGUCUAUAAGGGGAUUUUAUUCAAGAAAAUAGUCAUUUUUUAGUGUUAUUUUGGGAUGUUGGUGUUGUUAUUGAGACUUUGAGGUGUUUUAAGUUAAUUAUGUUUGAGUAGUUCAUUAAUGUUCUUGUAGAGGAACGUAUAUUUUGAAUUGAAUUGAUGACUUUUAUGGGAUAUUGAAGCUUUGGAGUUUAUACAUGUAUUAUUGAAUGUGAUUUUAAAUGAUAGGAAGUAACCCUUCGACCGUCUGGGUAUGCAUCGUUAUAGGGGAAUUAAAAAUAAAAAAGUGACAUUAGAUAAAAAAAAAAAAAAAAAAAAUUCUAUCCUCUCAUCCAUAUUCGAUUGCCCAGCCUUUGAUAUGCCUAUAACUGGAAGAGGUAGAGGUCGAUCAUGUGGCGUGAGCUACGGUCGAGGUAGAUCUCAAAGAAAUGAUGAAGUUCAAAAUAGAGAACCCAUUGCUGCCAUUUCUGCUCCAGAUGAUGCAUUCUCAAGCUCAGAUGACUCAACUGAGCCACCUGAUUGCGUCCCGAGCACAGAACCAAAUGACAUGCCAACAGUCGAUUAACUAAGUACAAACCCAUUUGUACCACCAAGCCAAAAGAGUAGGCGAGGAGCAGCAAAAAGCACAGAGUUUGAGAAGCUAUGAAUUAAAUCAUGGAAAGAUACCAUUGAGAAUAAAGGAUGGUGAGAUUGCACCUUGUUGUGAAAACGCUACCAUUUUUACUACAAGGGUCACAUGGUUGGUCAAGCACUAUAUGGACUUGAGUCAUGCUAGCUGGCACGCCGUUCCAACUAAUGAGAAGGAAGAAUUGAUUACAUGGGUUCAGGUGGACUUCAUCCUCGAUUGGAACAAGAAGAAUCACCGUGAUACGGUUACGAAGACACUUUACAAGUGGUUUAAUCAUAUUCGCUAUGAUUUACAUAGAACCUAUAAUAAGUAUGAGAGUAAGGAAGAAGCACUAGCGAAUGUGCCACCGUUGGUGACACCAGCCACUUGGCUGAAGUUAUGCACUCGAUAUUCAAGCAAGGACUUUAAGUAGAUGUCUGAACAAAAUAAAGGUAAUCGAGAGAAGCAAGAAAACAAUCACACGGCUGGACAAAGGUCAUUUGUACGGCUAAUGGAGAUGAGGUCUGCUACUAAGGAGAAUUUGGUCGAUUUCUUUAAAGAAGUGAGGUGGUCAAAGAAAAAGAACAAAUUUGUGACUCCUGUUGCUGAAGAGAAAUAUCUGGAGAUGGCUACAAAGAUGUUAGAGCUGGAGCCUGAGCAGCAGACUAAAGAGGCUGCAGCAACAAUUUUUAAAGAAGUUUUGGGCCACAGAUUAGGGUAUGUAAGGGGGCUCAGUGAGAUGGUUAUUCAGGAGUCAUCUAGACAAGCAGCUGAUGCCCAAAUAGCAGAAUUAACUGAACGUGUAGAAAGAUUUGAAAAGCUGCAAAUGAUUAUAAGAGUCAGCUUGAUGACUUACGAGCGAAUGUCAUGCUAGUAAUGGAGAGACAAGCUGAAUACGACAAGUUUAUGGAGAGAUAUGCAUCAGAGAGGCAGACUCAGGGAGAGUCUCAUAGAGAGACUCAGGGACUUGUAUAGUUAGUUAUUUUUUUUGGAGGGAAAACAAUUUUUUGUGAAUUUUGGUAAGUAGAUGAAGGUUAAAGUAAAGUCUUAAAACAAAAUGCCUCCUACUUAGAUAAGAUUUUGUUCAUCAGUUUAUUGGUGUGGGGUAGGUAGUGUAUUGUUAGGUGUUGUGGAUAUGUUGUAGUUUAUAUCAAUGUAUGUUUCUCUUGCCACCAACUGCUCACUUGGAAGUUAUUGGUCAUUUAAUGUCUAGUCAAACUGCUACAACAAGGUAAGUUAUCAGUACAUGGUUGAAUUGUACCUUUUCAUUUCUUCUUCUUCUUACUUUUUGCUUUUUAUCUAUCAUUCAGCAUUAUUCUAUUUUUUUCCAGGGUUGGGAAUUUUGGUAGGCACUCGUUAGUGUUCUUGUUAGAUGGUUUAUGGAGGAAAAUCCUAUGGGCAAAUGUGUGUUGGCCUUACCUUGAUAAUUGGAUCAUUACAGAUGUCAUCUUUCACGUUGAAGGAUCUCUAUUCUCAAGGAUUGAAUCAAGAUAUCAAGAAAUAUAGAGCAAAAUCAUUUCAGAAGUUGUCAAAGAUGGAAUCAAAUUAAAUACAUGUAGAAAGAAUUCCACUUGUACCUUUAUAUUCCAUUGUGAUAUGUUGGAUGGUAUUUUGGAAAAGAAUUAAAACAAUGGUAGUUGUGAAUUUCAAAUAUGUACUUUGAAGUUAUAUGAAUGAUGUUGGCAAGCAAAUAUAAAUUUCUUCAAAUCA
Carya illinoinensis is the source of this 4968-nucleotide long non-coding RNA. RefSeq lists it as uncharacterized. The transcript is spliced from 7 exons. NCBI's taxonomy places the organism in Eukaryota, Viridiplantae, Streptophyta, Magnoliopsida, Fagales, Juglandaceae. The record is from RefSeq and is a predicted model, not a curated record.